GAUGAACGCUGACAGAAUGCUUAACACAUGCAAGUCAACUUGAAUUUGGGUUUUUAACUUAGGUUUGGGUGGCGGACGGGUGAGUAACGCGUAAAGAACUUGCCUCACAGCUAGGGACAACAUUUGGAAACGAAUGCUAAUACCUAAUAUUAUGAUAAUAGGGCAUCCUAUAAUUAUGAAAGCUAUAAGCGCUGUGAGAGAGCUUUGCGUCCCAUUAGCUAGUUGGAGAGGUAACGGCUCACCAAGGCGAUGAUGGGUAGCCGGCCUGAGAGGGUGAUCGGCCACAAGGGGACUGAGACACGGCCCUUACUCCUACGGGAGGCAGCAGUGGGGAAUAUUGGACAAUGGACCAAGAGUCUGAUCCAGCAAUUCUGUGUGCACGAUGAAGUUUUUCGGAAUGUAAAGUGCUUUCAGUUGGAAAGAAAGAAAUGACGGUACCAACAGAAGAAGUGACGGCUAAAUACGUG
Molecule: ribosomal RNA, 467 nt
Filed under: uncultured bacterium
Lineage: Bacteria
Description: partial 16S ribosomal RNA
Rfam family: Bacterial small subunit ribosomal RNA
Source: RNAcentral